RNAcentral lists this ribosomal RNA (253 nucleotides) under uncultured bacterium. Its description in RNAcentral is "partial 16S ribosomal RNA". It matches the Rfam family "Bacterial small subunit ribosomal RNA", at positions 524 to 776 of the family's 1533-position model. The record is from RNAcentral.
GACGUAGGGCGCGAGCGUUGUCCGGAUUUAUUGGGCGUAAAGAGCUCGUAGGCGGCUUGUCGCGUCGGCUGUGAAAUCCCGUGGCUUAACUGCGGGUCUGCAGCCGAUACGGGCAGGCUAGAGUUCGGUAGGGGAGACUGGAAUUCCUGGUGUAGCGGUGAAAUGCGCAGAUAUCAGGAGGAACACCGGUGGCGAAGGCGGGUCUCUGGGCCGAUACUGACGCUGAGGAGCGAAAGCGUGGGGAGCGAACAGG